AAGCGUUCAUAGCGACGUUGCUUUUGAUCUUUCGAUGUCGGCUCUUCUAUCAUUGAGACGCAGAAGUCUCAAAGUGUCGGAUUGUUCACCCGCCAAUAGGGAACGUGAGCUGGGUUUAGACCGUCGUGAGACAGGUUAGUUUUACCCUACUGACAAAGUAGAUACUGCGACAGUAGUCGAAGUUAGUACGAGAGGAACACUUCGUCCAGAUACUUGGUUAAUGCCGUUGUCUGAAAAGACAGUACGGCGAAGCUACCAUCUGCUGGAUUACGGCUGAACGCCUCUAAGCCGGAAUCCAUGCUGGAUAAGCAGUGUUGUACACCGUGCUCAAUGCUACAAGAAAAAGGCUAGGUCAGGCUUCGGCCUGACCAAAAUUCAAGCUGCUAUACCUCUGGCUGCAUUGACUUGUGGUCAGAGUGUAUGGUGAUCAUAGCAAUUGCAAGUAUUGGGCUCGAUAAAUCCUUUGAAGACGACUUAAUUGCAUCCGGGUAUUGUAAGUGUUGAGAGUAGGCUUAGUCUUACGAUCCACUGAGAUUCAUCCCGUGUUGCGCCGAUUUGU
This 559-nucleotide non-coding RNA is filed under the name Perkinsus marinus ATCC 50983. Its description in RNAcentral is "Eukaryotic large subunit ribosomal RNA". It matches the Rfam family "Eukaryotic large subunit ribosomal RNA", at positions 2846 to 3401 of the family's 3401-position model. The record is from Rfam by way of RNAcentral. Lineage: Eukaryota; Perkinsozoa; Perkinsida; Perkinsidae.